RNAcentral lists this ribosomal RNA (452 nucleotides) under uncultured eukaryote. Its description in RNAcentral is "eukaryotic LSU rRNA". It matches the Rfam family "Eukaryotic large subunit ribosomal RNA", at positions 1704 to 2235 of the family's 3401-position model. The record is from RNAcentral.
AUAAAAAUUAAAUGGGAAUAAUAUUAUAUUGAGAUAUUUAAUACUAUUUAGAAGAAUUAAAAAUAAAUUUGAUUUUGUAUUGUUUUAAUCUAAAUUAUAUUCAAUAAUCCUUGAAAAUUAAAAGUGAUUGAUGUUAACAUAUGAAGUUUAAAAUGGUCGUACUCAUCACCGCAUCAGGUCUCUAAGGUGAAAAGCCUCUAGUUGAUUAGAAAUAAUGCAGGUAAGGAAAGUCGGCAAAUUAGAUCCGUAACUUCGGGAAAUGGAUUGGCUCAUAAAAUUAUAAAAUAAUAAAAUAAUUUUUUUUAUUUUGUUAUUUAAAUUAAUUAUGAACUGAUACGAUCAUGGGGAAUCCGACUGUUUAAUUAAAACAAAGCAUUGCGAAACUUUUAACUAGUAUUUUACGUAAUGUGAUUUCUGCUCAGUGCUCUGAAUGUCAAAGUGAAGUAAUUCAA